This 563-nucleotide ribosomal RNA is filed under the name uncultured bacterium. Its description in RNAcentral is "bacterial SSU rRNA". It matches the Rfam family "Bacterial small subunit ribosomal RNA", at positions 338 to 916 of the family's 1533-position model. The record is from RNAcentral.
CCUACGGGAGGCAGCAGUGAGGAAUAUUGGGCAAUGGGCGCAAGCCUGACCCAGCAACGCCGCGUGGAGGAAGACGGCCUUCGGGUUGUAAACUCCUUUUACGGGGGAAGAGGAAGGACGGUACCCCGAGAAUAAGUCACGGCUAACUACGUGCCAGCAGCCGCGGUAAUACGUAGGUGACAAGCGUUAUCCGGAAUUACUGGGCGUAAAGCGCACGCAGGCGGCGCAUUAAGUCUGACGUGAAAUCUCCCGGCUUAACUGGGAGGGGUCGUUGGAAACUGAUGUGCUUGAGGCGGUGAGAGGGGUGUAGAAUUCCCGGUGUAGUGGUGGAAUGCGUAGAUAUCGGGAGGAAUACCAGUGGCGAAAGCGGCACCCUGGCACUAGCCUGACGCUCAUGUGCGAAGGCGUGGGGAGCGAACGGGAUUAGAUACCCCGGUAGUCCACGCGGUAAACGAUGAAUACUAGGUGUGGGGGGAGUGAAAUCCUUCUGUGCCGAAGCAAACGCGCUAAGUAUUCCGCCUGGGGAGUACGGCCGCAAGGCUAAAACUCAAAGGAAUUGACGG